This 225-nucleotide ribosomal RNA is filed under the name Metapolybia unilineata. RNAcentral describes it as "partial small subunit ribosomal RNA". Lineage: Eukaryota; Metazoa; Arthropoda; Insecta; Hymenoptera; Vespidae. The record is from RNAcentral.
UUAAAUCAUUAAAUUUAAAAGAUUUGGCGGUAUUUUAAAUAAUUAGAGGAACCUGUGUAGUAAUUGAUGAUCCACGAUAAGAAUGACUUAUAAGUUUAUGUAUUGCUGUUAAAAGAUUAUUAUUAAUUAAAUUUUUAAAUAAUUAUUUUAAUUUAAUUCAAGUCAAAAUAUAAUUUAUUUAAGAUAUGGGUUACAAUUUAAUUUUGAAAUAGGAUUUAAUAGUAA